Molecule: long non-coding RNA, 13669 nt
Filed under: Vitis vinifera (wine grape)
Lineage: Eukaryota; Viridiplantae; Streptophyta; Magnoliopsida; Vitales; Vitaceae
Description: long non-coding RNA (VVIN_LNC001688)
Source: RNAcentral
GGGUGGUGACUUGUGGUAGUAGACUGGUGGUUGGGGUGAUGGAGAAGGUAGUGGUGGGGAUUUGUAGAGGUAUGGUGGAAGAGGAGAUGGAGAUGGAGGAGGUGAGGACUUGUAAUAGGAUGGAGAAGGUGGUGGUGGUGAUUUGUAGUAGUAAGGAGGAGGUGGGGAAGGAGAUGGUAGAGGUGGGGACUUAUAGUAAUAAGGAGGUUGAGGAGAUGGUGAUGGAGGAGGAGGUAAUUUAUAGUCGUAGUGAGGAGGGGGUGAUGGUGAAGGUAGUGGUGGUGACUUGUAGUAAUACCACGGAGGAAGAGAUGGAGAUGGAGCCAGAGGUGACAGCGGUGGUAGUGAUUUGUAGUAAUAAGGAGGCAGUGAUGAUGGAAAAGGUGGGAGCGGUGGCAGUGAUUUAUGGUAAUAAGGAGGUAGUGAUGAUGGAAAAGGUGGGAGCGGUGGCCGUGAUUUAUAGUAAUAAGGAGGUAGUGAUGAUGGAAAAGGUGGGGAUGCAAAAGUAUUAGGAUUGUAAGGCUCGUCUUCAGCAGCUACAUUAGCGGCAAUCAAGCACAAAGCCAAGACACAAAUCAGGUGAGGCCAAAAAUUGGCCAUUUCCAGAACACGAGAAAAUUUCACUCCUACAACUCAAGAACUUCUAUUUCUUAGAACAGAAGGGAUUUUGUGAAUGAUGCUUCAAGGUAGAGGCUCAGAGUUUAUAUAGUCAUCCUUUCCAUAAUUCUUUCAUUUGUUUAAUUAGUAGUUGUUGAAGCCUCCAAUCUUUAACAAGUCUACAACUAAAUGGUAUUCCCCUAUUUUCUAUGUGUUACCUGCACAUCUGUCCAUGAAAAGUCAAGAAGAUUAGUAAACAUAUAUAUACAAGAGUGCAUUUCAGUUUUGGUUGUUGGGAGCCUAGAAGCUUCCCCAUAUAUUAUGUCAAAUGUGACUGCCAUCUUUAAGAAUUUACCAUGGAAAACUCAACAUAAAAUAUUACUAUGAAGCAUGUCUACCAAGCAAAAAGCUAGGGCUAUUAGAUCUCCUUCUACCAUAACUUCCUGUUUUUCGAAAAUUUGUCAUACAUUGAAACCUUUUUCAAAACAACAAAAAGAUUUAAUAUUGCAAAUAAUUUACGGGCAUUAAUUAGGAAGGUAAUGCACUAAUAAACCUAAAAUCAAUGCCAAUUUUUCUAGAAAGGCAUCGUUGUCUUUCAAUAACUUCUUAAGCUAGCUAUUUAAUAUUAUAGGACGACUAGGUCUAUGAAUGAGAUCAUCAUAUGCAUUUUCAAUAACAAGUAAUGGACCCUUGUUUUUCCAUUGGAUUUGAGUAACGAUGAAAGUUCUUUAGGAAAAGGAAAGAAACAUAAUUAAUCUCUUAAAUUUCUUCUUCAUGCAUGUUGCUAGAUAAAGGAUUGAUGGGGCAAGCAACAAAGGGAGAUUAUUUAAAGAGAUUUUGUAAUAACUACUUUGGAAUUGGGAGUUGUAGAAAGUGGAAGAGAAAAUGUUCAAGGAAUAGUUCAUUCCUCAAAUGUUCAUCCAUUCCUUUGUAUAGGGUUUUGCCUUUAAAUAUCAACAAAACUGCUCAAGGUGUAUUUGAUAGUAAUUUUAGAAAGUAUUUUUAACCUUUAUAAUACUUAAAAAAAAAAAAAAUUGUUAAGUGUCAAAAAUAUUAAAAACACAUCUUAAAAUCACUACUAAACGGACUCUUAAAAGUUCAUAUGAAAUUAAUCAAAUUAGAUAAGGACAGGUUCUAACCUGUGGACAUAUAUGUAGAACUAAGGUCUUAGAACCGGUGAUGAUGAGAUUGCAAUCACAACUCACAACCAAAUAUCAUACAUACUUGAAAGAAACAAAUUGGAAGGAAAUCUAUUUCAAUAUGAAUUAUAAAGUGUUUUUGUGGUUAAUAUAAAAAAUAAUGACACUACAUGCAACUUACAUAUGUACUUGCUUUAUAUGCUAACGACAUUAUUUAUAUGCUAGAUAUUAACUAGACACCAUCAAUCAAGUCUAUAUAUAUAUAUAUAUUAUUAUUUAUAUCUUUAUACUUUGAUCUCAUUUGUUUAUUUCUUCGUUCAACAACACAAAUCUCAUCAUGCAUGUUUAAUGAUCCGGAUUUAGAGCUCAAUAGAUAUCACUAGGGUAGCUUAGGAUUUUCUUACCUAAAAUUACUAUAAGAAGUACUCAAGGAAAAAGAAAAUGAAUGAUCUAAAAGUGGAUCCCUUGCAACACUUCAAGGAGUCGAGAUUUGUACUUGGUUGGGCUUGGAAUUCUAAUAAUCCUAGUUGGCUGGGCACUUGGCUUUCUAAUAAUUCUAGUUGUCGCAUUAACGGAAACUGUUUGUAACUCAACAGUAUGGACAAUUGAAAUGUUUAUGGAGUAUUGUUAAUCAAAGCUGCCAUGGGAAAAUCUUUUGUUUGAAGCCCUUCACUGGAAUAUUCAAUAAAUAUAGCUAGCGCCACUUUCCCUCAGAAAUAAUUCCCCCCAAUACCUUAAAUGGUAUGCUUAAUUUCUUAUUCACUUUUACACACCUAUUCAUCUUAAUUACCAAAUGCACCCACUUUCUGUUUUUUUUUUCUUUUAACUCAUUAAUGUUUUAAAAAAAAUUGGUAUUAAUCAAAUAUUAAUUUUAAAAUUUUUAAUUAUUUUAAAAAAUUAUCAUAUCGGUUAAGAAAUUUAAUGCAUUAGCUCUCACUUGAUUUGAAAUAUGUUUGUCUAAUGAUAGAACUUGAAAAUUAUAUAGUUACACGCACAUAAAAAAUUGGCCAAGCCAUUGUAGACCGGUUUUGUUCCAACAAAUUCUAGUAUUAAUUGGCUCGAAUCAAGUUCUAAAUGAUUUUUAAAAUUUAUUAAACUUAUUAAGGAAUCCAAUGCAUCAAAUUGGAUUUAGAAGAUGACACAUCUCAAAGCAAAACAAUAGGGAAAGGUAUAAUAAAUCACAAAUUCAAUGUUAUAAAUAUCAAAAAUUAAACUGGAAUAAUCUCAAAUGACAAAAAUUAAGAAGAUUCUAUAGAUAAGGAAAUAAAAGCAAUAACAAAACAUAAUACAUUGAAACUAAAAUCCUUUCCAAAAGAGAAAAAGGCAAUUGGAGGAAAAUGGGUAAACAAUGAGUCAAAUCCUAUUUUUUGAAAACAACCAAAGGUUUAUAAAAUAAUAAUAAAUAAAUAAAUAAAAUGAAAUAAAAUAAAAUAAAUAAGAUCUCCUUUAAGACUAAAUGAUUCCAUUGAAUUGAGUAUGAUUGUGUGUGUGAUAGCAUCAACAGUACUAAGAAUAUCAAUGACCUUUUGGCAACCAACCUUCAAAAUAUAAAGGGGAAAGAUGUGCAAAGAAGAAUGUAAAAGGAGAAAUAUUAGAGAGACACAAAGUAAGAUUAGUGGUUAAGGGUUACAAGCAUCAACUUGUAAACAACAAAUUAGCAAUUGCACUAUCAAAAAAUCCAAUUUUAUAUGUUUGAAACAAGAUAUCAAUACAAAAUAUCAUUUUAUUAGAGAGUGCAUAAUGAAGAAGAAAGUAUAAUUAAAUUUGCAAAAUCUCAAGAUUAAAUUGCAAAUAUUUUUACCAAACCUCUCAAGUUUAAAAAUUUUAGAAAGUUAAGUAUAUUACUUGGAGUUACAAAUAAAGUUUAAGGGGGAUAUUGGAAAGUUAAACUUGAUUUAGAAAGUUUCCAAAACUUAGAACUAGAUUUAGUCUCCACAAUUCAAAGAUAAUAUUUUAUUUUCAAUGGUUGUUUAUAUUUGAGUAGUCAAGUCCUAGAAGGUUAAUUUCUAUAUUUUGUUAUUAGAAUUUUCUAUUUUGUUAAGUGUAAAUAUCUAUAAAUAAGAUUUUAUGUAAUAUUUGAAUAAGAAAGUGUGAAGAUGAAUCUCACCUAUGGAUAACAGCUAGAGGGGGCUAAAUAGAUGUUUUUUAAAACAACUUAAGAUGGUAUCUCACAAAUGCUUACAAAUCCCUUAUUUUUCUCAAAUGUUUUGGUUUGUUUUUUUUUAUCUUAUUAAAAAAAAAACAAAUCAUAAGUAAUAAUGGAUGCAUCAACACUCUCUCAUUAAGUGAGUCAAUGCAAAUCACAUACAAAUGAAUCAACACUCCUCAACUAUAAUGUAUAAGACAUUAUAUGCAUCGACACAAAUCCCAUUUUCGCAUGUCCCAUGACAUUAAUAUCAAAAACUGAAAUAUACCAUAUUCUAUCAAAGCUUCAAUGGUUUAAUUUAAGCUCAUAUCUCAAUUAAACAACAAAAUAAUUCAAUAGAAAUAUCAUAAGCUAAUGAAAAACUAAUUAAAAGAUGAGGUAGAAUAGACAUAUAAGGGAAGCAGCCUAAAAUCAUGCCUAUCAUUCAAUUCUAUAUUCUGUCAUAUAGCUGUAUAUUGUAACAGUAGCAUAGAUUUAGCCUUACCGUUUCUAAAUUUGAAUCAUAUAGUUGUAUAUUGUAACGGUAGCAUCCUUAUCGUGUAUAUGUUUCUUAAACUAGCUUCUUAAUCACUUUAUAUAAUAGAGUUUCCAUCAAUAAAAUGAGUUGGAAAUUCUUCAUUGAAACUACGACAAUAUUUUUUUCUUUAUAUGGUAUCAGAGCACUGAUCUCAAAUGAGCCAUCGAUCCAAGUUAUCACCAUGCCUUCCUCCUCUGAUCAAACUCCAAACUUUAAUCUCAAUACUCAACUUCCAUCUGCAGUCGAUAAACCCCUAAUUGCUCUCAAUAUCACAACCCAAAUCAAUGAAAAAUUAACUCCCUCCACAUUUUCUCAAUGGUGUGCUCAAUUUGAAGCACUCAUUAUUGGUUACGAUUUACUCAACUAUGUUGAAGGCACCAUUCGGUGCCCUUCCUCUACUGCUACUCCUACUGAUGAGUUGCACAAAACCCAUUGGGUCCGAUAGGAUAAACUUAUCUUGAGUGCUAUUCUAGCCUCCACAUCUUCUUCAAUCACACCACUCAUUGCUACGUCAAAGACCUCCCAUGAAGCUUGGAAAAAAUUAAAACCUCUAUAUGCUACCCGAUCAAGAACACAUGCUAUGCAAUUAAAGGAGGAACUCACCUUAAUCCAGCGAGGAGAUCGGUCGAUUAUAGAAUGCAUCCAUCCUCUAAAGUCCUUGGCCAAUGAAAUAACCAUUAUUGAUCAUUCAAUUUCGGAUGAUGACCUAACCCUUUGUGUGUUGAAUGGCUUAGGUCUAGAUUUUCGAGAGAUUGUUGUGCAUAUCUGAGCUCGAGAAUCAUCACUGGCUUUUGAGGAGUUGCAUGAUCUUUUGGUUGGACACGAGGCAUACUUAUGACGCAUAGGAGUUGCGAUGCAGAACCUAGUUGCUUCUGCAAAUUUCAUAAAGAUGACGAAGUAGUCUCCACAAUGAGGAAGUCACCCGUGGUCUUUCAAGCAAACUAGCUUUCACCAUGAGCCUCGAGGUUCUCAACAAAGCUGCAACUCAAAUGGAGCCCAACGUGAUGGAUGUCGCUCCAACAAUAACUCUAGGCGACCCAACAACUCCAAUUGGUGUUACCAGCCCAAAUGUCAAAUUUAUGACCAAUUGGGCCACACUGCAAAGUUCUGUCCUCAACUCCAUUCAUAGAAUGCCUCCAUCAAUUGUGCUGCAAUCUCUACUGGCAAGGACAAAAAUUGGUUACUUGAUUCGACUAUUUCUCAUAAUAUCACGGGUGAUCUUUCCAACUUAUCUAUUCACUCCGAAUAUGAUGGAAUUGACAAAGUAAUUCUCAGUAAUGGUUCAAGUUUGGUUGUCUCACACAUCGGUUUUUUGGAUUUACACUCCCCUCAUCGAAAUUUUACAUUGCAUGAUACUCUUUGUGUUCCAAAUCUUUGCAGAAAUUUAAUUUCCGUUCAUCAUCUCACCAAACAAAACAAUGUCUUGGUUGAAUUUCACCAUUUUCAUUUUCUUGUGAAGAACAAGAUCACGGGGGCAAUCCUACUAAGAAGAGCAUGUAACAAUGGCAUCUACACUUUUCCGACAUCAAUGGUGGCAUAAAAAAAUAUUGCUAAUGUGCAUGAACACAGAUGGAUGGCACAAGCGUCUUGGGAUUCCUUCUACUAAAAUUGCCCAUCAUCUUGUCAAUAAAUUUUCUCUUCCUAUGUCCUUGAACAAAAAGUUUAUCUUCAUUAUGUUCUUCAUGUUCUAUUAAUAAAGCACAUCAACAACCACUUUGUGUCACUAGUCUCCAAAGUCAUGAGCCACUUGACCUUAUUUACACGGAUGUGUGGGGUCCCGCUAGUUAUACUGGAAUUGAUGGAUCACGAUAUUACCUUAUUUUUGUUGAUCAUUAUACAAAAUAUAUAUGAUUUUAUCCAAUGGUCACAAAAUCCAAUGUUUCUAAUAUUUUCCCGCAUUUCAAAAAGUUUGUUGAAACUUGUUUUUAAAAAUCUAUUAAAACACUUUACUUCAAAAAUGGUGGUGAGUUUAUCGCUUUAAAAUCUUAUUUAUUACUUCAUGGCAUAACUCACUACACCACUGCUCCACACACUCAACAACAAAAUGGUGUCUUUGAACGUUAUCACUGUCAUCUCGUUGAAACGAACCUUACACUUCUUCAUGAUGCAAAUCUUGCUUUCUCAUAUUGGCCCUAUGCUUUUCAAACAACUUCUUAUCUCAUAAAUAAACAACCAAUGCCUUUCCUCCAAGAAAAAAAUACCUUUUGAAGCCCUUUUUGGUCAACCACCCAAUUACUUGAAAUUAAAAAAAUUUGGGUGCAUUUGUUAGCCCCUCACACGAGCCUAUAAUUCAAAUAAAAUGCAGCCCAAAUCCAAAGUCUGCAUUUUUCUCGGUUAUUCACCAACCCAAAACGCAUACAAGUGUUUUGAACCUCAAACAAAAAAUUCUUUCUCUCACGGCAUGUGUUAUUUGAUGAAAAUCUAACAUAUUCCAGUCUAUCCUAAACUGCGUCUUCCAUAACAACCCAACCCACUCGAGAAUCUCACAUUUUUUUUCAUUUUUUCUUCUUCAAUUCUCAGCAGGCUGUCGUGUCUCCAUCACAGUUGUCCGGUACACCUAUCUCAUCGUUGUCUCCGGAAGGUCCGCCUACCAUUGUUGCGUCUUCCUUAGGUGAUUUCGGACCCUCUGCUCCUUUCUUUCAUGAUUGCUUGCAAACCCUAGAUCACAACACCACCCACUUGAAUUUUCCUUUACAUGACACUCAGACUGGUCCUUCUUUAAAUUUGCAAUCACGCUCUCAUGAUCAGCAUCUAGGUCUAGCUAAUACUUCCAAUUUUCCAACCCCUACCGAAACCAAUAAUUUUCCCCAACGCACUCAUACCAUGACCAUAAGAUCAAUGUACCAAAUCUUCAAACCCAAACAACUCCACACUGUGUCAAAAUAUCCUCUCUCCUCGACCAUUGAACCAACCAAUGUGAGCCAAGCCAUUUCUCAACCUCAUUGGCGUGAGGUCAUGUCUAAUGAGCUUACUGCUCUAAUGAAACAUAGGACUUGGGACAUAGUUUUACCACCUUCAAACUGUAAACCCGUGGGUUGUAAAUGGGUAUUUUGAGUAAAAAGAAAAGCUGAUGGGUCAGUGGACAGGUUCAAAGUCUGUCUAGUUGCUAAGGGCUAUAAUCAACGUCUUGGUGUUGAUUACAAAGACACUUUUAGUCUUGUCAUCAAACCAACAACUAUUAGAUUUGUCCUAUCUAUUGUAGUCAUGAAUGGAUGGGUUUUGAGGCAACUGAAUAUCAACAAUGCUUUUCUAAAUGGUGAAUUAUCUGAGACUGUGUUUAUGGCAUAACCCCCAGGGUUCAAAGAUUUGUCCAAACCUAAUCAUGUUUGCAAGUUAAAAAAAUGCCAUCUAUGGGCUUAAAUAAGCCCCGCGAGCUUGGUACACAAUGCUAAAAAAUGCCAUUCUUCAGUUGGGUUUUCAUAAUUCCAAAGUGGAUUCCUCUCUCUUCAUUUACAACCAUGGUUCCAAUCUUUAUUAUUUCUACAGGGAAUAAUUUCAUACUUAUGGCCACUAUUAUGAAGCAGCUGGGUGACAUGUUUUCUCUCAAAGAUAUGGGUUCUCUUCAUUUUUUCUUAGGAAUUGAAGUAAUUCCUACUCGGGCAGGAUUAUUCCUCUCACAACAUAAAUAUGUUCAUGAACUUUUAGCCCACACCAGUAUGAGUAGUGCAAAAGAUGUCUCCAUACCUCUCUCUACCACUCAAUCUCUUCAACUGGUUGAUGGCAUUGUUGCUGUGGACAACUCAGAGUUCUGUAAAAUCAUUGGCAGCCUUCAAUACCUUUCUUUGACGCAUCCAGAUAUCUCAUUUGCAGUAAAAAAAACUCUCGCAAUUUAUGCACAAGCCGACUACAAAUCACUGGACAGAAACCAAACGACUCAUUCGAUACUUAAAACAAACCAUUUUUUUAUGGUAUUCAAAUCAACAAAGCUGGAACUCCAGUAUUAAGAACAUACUCAGAUGUAGAUUGGGCUGGAAAUGUGGACGACUGCACGUCCACCUCUGCUUCUAUCAAUUUUUUGGGAUCUAACCAAAUUUCUUGGAGCUCAAAGAAACAAAGAGCAGUUGCAAGAUCCUCAAUAGAAGUUGAAUACCGAGACUAGCAACUGCGGCUUCCGAGACAAUGUGGAUGUCUACUCUCUUCAAAGAACUAGCAUUUCCAAUCAAAGAAUCUCCCCAAUUGUUAUGUGACAACCUUGGAGCCACACAUCUCAGUUUUAACUCGGUUAAUCAUUCACGCAUGAAACACAUUCAAAUUGACCUUCACUUUGUGCGUGACUUAGUGCAAAAAGGAAGCAUCCAAGUCAGCCAUGUACAUACUCAAGACCAAUUAGCUUAUCUGUUAGCAAAGUCGUUGUCCAAACAACGCACAGAAUUGUUACGCAACAACAUUGUCCUUACCGAUGGAAGCCCUAUCUUGCAGGGGUGUAUAAGGGAAACAUCCUAAAAUCAUGCCUAUCAUUCAAUUCUAUAUUCUGUCAUAUAGUUGUAUAUUGUAACAGUAGCAUCCUUACCGUGUAUAAGUUUCCUAAACUAGCUUCUCAAUCACUCUAUAUAACAGAGUUUCUAUCAAUAAAAUGAGUGGGAAAUUCUUCAUUGAAACUACGACAAUAUUUGUUUCUCUAUAAGAGAAACGGUGACACCAAUAUUUUAGCAUGGAAAACCUAAAAAAAGGAGAAAAAACCAUAGACCUCUAGCGAUCAAAUCAUUCACCAUGAAGAAAAUUAACUAAGUACAAGGAUUUACCUAACCCAAACUUUCAAUCCUCUCUUGGUCCACUUGCCUAAAAUCUUCAGACUUUAGCAACCCACUUUCUUCUUCUAGAACACACUUCAAAUCCAUACUAAGUUUGAUCUUGACCUCUUCUUAAAUCCACAUAAGAAGAUAUUUGAGUUUUUACCCCAAAUAAGAUGAAUAUAAGCGUAAAGAUGAAACUCACACUGAAUCAACCUAUUUUGAAAGAAAUUUUUUCACUUAAAAAUGAAUUUCAACUCAAACCCAUAAAAUUUUCAUUCAAACCAAACACCUCAAAAACAGGUAAAAGAAUAUGAAGCUCAAGAGAGGCCACCUAUCUCUUUCAGCCCGCCCUUCCUCUUAUAGAAAUAGAGCUUAAAUAUUAGGGUUUUAAAACCCAUUAAACGGAUGAGAUUUGUUUGGAAAAUAAUGAAGAUUCAUAGUGUGAUCGAAACCUGAUCACAAGACUGAAAAAAUCUGGGUUCAACAAAAACUGUUACCCUUCAGUUUUAUGUUGUGGUUGAGUACUACUCGAUAAUAGUGAGUGAUAUCAUUUAUGGAGGACCAUCACAUGAUGGUCCAAAUGAGAAGUAGAUAUGAUACUAAAAAUUGAUGUAAGGUAAUGUCCCGUCCCAAGACCCACUCCAAGGGCAUGAAGGUCAUUUCACACCUCAAACCCAAAGGCUUAAAGUGUAACCUGACCCAAACAAUUAUCUUAUAACUGGAAGUUACCAAUUACCAAAUACCUGUUUAGAGUAGCAAAAUAAAAUUCUAAAAUCUUCAAAACUUAACUUUAAAACUAAGCAUCCAUCAACCAAAAUCCAUUUUCCAAAUAAAUUGCAAACUCAAACAAUUCAAGUGCUAACAAAAAUUUUCAUAAUCUCCAAAUCUCAACUUCAAACUAUCAAAAAAAAUUUAAAAGUUCAAUAUCUAAAUAGCUUCCAAAAACCAAAUAAUCCAAAUGAACAUAAACUUAUAAGCUAACAAUGUCCAAAAAUAACAUCCUAAGCAAAAUCCUAAUGAUGACCAUUCCCCGACCUAGCCAUCACUCAUCGCCCGAACUAAGUGUACCUGAAAAAUUAUCAACAAAAGAGAAUGAGCUCAAAGCCCAAUAAGGAACAUUAUUAUAGUCCAUGGAUCAAAUAUUUCAAGUUCACUUGUAAAAUAGGAGAUAUUAUAACUAAUUAUUUUCAUAAACCUUUGAGUCAGUUUUGUCAAUACAUUCAAAACUUUUAAUUGAACACUUUCAUUUCUGAUUCAAACAUUUUCAUAUCAAAUUCAGUCAAAACAUUCAAAUCAUUUAUUUACUUUGGUCAUCAAACAUUAAAUGAUGUCCAAUUAGGUGAGACUUUUCAAAUAAGUGGCUAGCCUCAAAUUGUUCAUUUAAGGUGGACGAAACCAAACACUACUAGUACUAGUAACCUCUAACCAAACCCCUAGAGGUUGGGGUCCAAAUCAAUUACAUUCCCCACCAAGAAAUGUAAAUGUCAACUAUUAUAUUUCGUCGACAAGGGUCAAACAAACCAAAAUCAAACACUUAUUUCAAUUAUUCAAAUUUGCAAAACAUAAUAUCUCCAUAUUUCUCUGUUGUGAACAAAAUGUAAGGUUCUAACAUACUUUUCAUGCAAAACAUAUUUGAUUCAUGCAUAAAACGAAUAAUAACUCAAAGCGUUUCCAAAUGAUGUAUAUAAAAAUUUGUUUCUAAAAAAAAAAAAAAACCUGCAUUAAUUUCCCUUACCUCAAAAGAAGUCUUCAAAAACUUAGGAGAAAAAUAAUUCUUAAAAAUCUACUCCUCACCUAACAAAGUAUAAGAGAAAUAACCAUUAUUAUUUAUCUAAAAUUAUAGGUUUGACAAUCCUAAAAGGUAUUCAAAUUAAUGUUUUUAAUUAUAAAAGAUAAUUUAAUCUAUUCCUAUUUUAGAAAAAUUAAUAAAUUUCUAAUUCAUAUAAAACUUAAAUUUUAUUUUCAAUUUAUUUCUUAGGAUACAACAUAAUUUAAUUAAACUACAAUUUAUUCUACUAAUUAAAUUUUAUGCCACUUAUUAACUUACACUCAUCAUUAGUAUAAUAAUAUUGAUAACUUCUAUUCUCUUUCUUUCAAUUUUUUUUUUCCACUAAACAUAAAUUGUAACCCUAACAAUUCUCCAUUAUUGCUAACAUAAUAAUGUAAAGAUAUUUAUUAACCACCAAACACCAUCCGUACACAUCUUCCUUUAUUAUUAAUAUUACUAUUUUUUUUCUUUUAAAAAAAAUAAAAAAUUCCUCCAGUGCAAGUGUGUUCUUUUUUUUUCCCCUAAUGUUUUCUAAUCCCUUAACCCACAUAUAAUAAUAUAUUUAUUUACUCAUUUAUUUAUUUAUUUUUAAAAAAAUCAUUACUUAGAUCUAUUCAUCUAAAAAAUUUUGAAUUUCCCUUAUUUCAACAAUAGAACAAUCUAUAUUCCCAAUUUCAAUAUUUUGACCUAAAAGUUUUAAAUAGGUUAAGUCUAGCCUAAAUUGAAAUCUUUCAAAGAAAUUUUUUUUUUUUUCAAAAACUUAAGAUUUCCCAAUUUUUAAUAAUAAAACCACCAAUAAUCCUAAAUUUCUAAUAUUUUGAUAUUAAAACGAAUUAAAAAAAAAACUAACCCUAAUCUAAAUUAAAAAAAUAAAAUUCAAAGAAUAACUAACGUGUUUAGAACUAACUAUUGAAUAUAAUAUAUUAAUUUAAGAUUAGAAUCUUACCUAGAAAAAAAACCUGAAUUUCAACUUUAAAUCUCUAACCCUUGAGCCCUACGAACUCCAAUUCUCUACUUCUAGUUAAUAGGGUUUUCUGAACGAAGAAGAAAAGAGGAAAAAUCCAAUUUAUACCUAGGAUUUUUAAUUGUAAAAUGACUCUUUCACCCUCAAUGAAUUUAAUUAAUUAUUUAAUUACUUUAUAAAUUACUAGUUUGCCCCUAGAUUAAAUUUUGGGGUGUUACAGGUAAUCAAGUAAAAGUUAACGAGUUGGAUCGAAACAGGUUCUGACUUUCUGUAGCUGCAUUUAGAAAUGAAGGUUUUACAGGUAAAGAUGUUUCAGACACUUCUUCACCAAAACCCAUGUGUAAAAGGAACAGAUUGAACCGAAAGCUACUUCAUUAUGGUUUUGUGGAGAGUUGCUUUUCUUGAGAAGUUCUAUAUAGGCUUUCAGUUACUUGUGACCUAUUGUGCUUCAAAUCAAUCAAUUUGAUUUUCGUGCCAGAAUGAAAGCAUUGAUUAUACUAGAAGUUCAUGUUCAAGUUUAAAGUAAAGUAAAUAUGCGAAGACUGUUUUUUGUUAUCAAACCUAAUUCCCUUUUUUUUCCUCCAUUUUUUUUUUUCUCAGCUUCUGAGUUCAUGAAAUUACAGUUACAUGGAAUUUGGCCCACAGGAAAUCUCUUUUAGAAAAUCUUAUCCGGUUUACUUCACAAUUUUUUUUUUAAAUGUGAAAAUUAAGAACAAUUGCAUGCUGUUGAUCAAGACAUCCAUGUUUAGCAAUUCAUCCUCUCAUUGAAAUAAAUGUAAAUGUUCCAUUUAUUUAAAAGUUUGCGAAUCUUAAGUAGAUGGCAAACAGAUCAAUAAGGUCCAAUAACAGAACAAAUUAAUGGCUAGUAUAUACUGAAAGAGAACUCAAGGGUAUAAAAUAAAAACAAAAUGAUCCAAACUGCAAAGCAUCAUGGCCAUGGCAAGGUCCUUAUUGUUGAACUGGAUGUCUUUCUUUGAUGUUAAUAGUCGUUGUACCCCCAAAAGAUCUUCCUGUUCCUUCUGAUAUCAAUUAUUCAUUCUAUCUAUCCUAUAAUCUGCACGGAAAACAGAGGAAUGUUAAAUACUGUAUGAAUGAUGAAAAUGAGAAAUGUGGUCUGUAUUAUUAUAUAUACUUACAUGAAACUAGAAGAGGCAAUUCAUUUAGUAAUAUGGUGGAGGAGGUGAAGGAGAGGAAGGGGGUGGUGACUUGUGGUGGUAGACUGGUGGUUGGGAUGAUGGAGAAGGUAGUGGUGGGGACUUAUAGUAAUAAGGAGGUUGAGGAGAUGGUGAUGGAGGAGGAGGUAAUUUAUAGUCGUAGUGAGGAGGGGGUGAUGGUGAAGGUAGUGGUGGUGACUUGUAGUAAUACCACGGAGGAAGAGAUGGAGAGGGAGCCAGAGGUGACAUCGGUGGUAGUGAUUUAUAGUAAUAAGGAGGCAGUGAUGAUGGAAAAGGUGGGAGCGGUGGCAGUGAUGAUGGAAAAGGUGGGAGCGGUGGCCGUGAUUUAUAGUAAUAAGGAGGUAGUGAUGAUGGAAAAGGUGGGGAUGCAAAAGUAUUAGGAUUGUGAGGCUCGUCUUCAGCAGCUACAUUAGCAGCAAUCAAGCACAAAGCCAAGGCACAAAUCAGGUGAGGCCAAAAAUUGGCCAUUUCCGGAACACGAGAAAAUUUCACUCCUGCAACUCAAGAACUUCUAUUUCUUAGAACAGAAGGGAUUUUGUGAAUGAUGCUUCAAGCUAGAGGCUCAGAGUUUAUAUAGUCAUCCUUUCCAUAAUUCUUUCAUUUGUUUAAUUAAUAGUCGUUGAAGCCUCC